UCCAGUGACGUUGCAAACAUUCAGUGAUCACGCAUAUAACGUUUGAUAGAAAAGUAUUUGAUUGGUUGGAGAGGUGGUUUGAUUAGUUUGGCAAUUACGUUAAUUAAAAGGUCAAGACACACAUGUGGUUAGAACAAAGACGCGGGUUCUAGAAUCGCCAGUCUUAGAUAGACUCUCAUAGAAGCAAGACGUACAUUACUCUUGAUUUAGAAUUAAUGGAGAUUACUUUUGCACUUACACUAAAUCUAGUAGUUAUUUAAAUAUUUCAUAUUCUUGAUACAGUUUGUCGGUGCGUAGGUUAUGGCAUUCUAGCACCAAUGUUUAGUAAGUGCACAAUUUUUGAACGCACUUUCUUGGUUGCCUUGCUUGUAAGCUUAUGGAGUGGUUUUGUUAUUAUGCUGGUGUAUCGUCGUGUGUUUGAGAUUCUUCUGUGUACCCCUGUUUAGGGGAGCUAGUUAUGGGAUUAUCAAGAUUUACAUUGGAGUUUAUUAUCAGCAGUGGGCCAGUGUUGAACGUACUAUUGUGUGGCGUUGUGUGAUAGCAAGGUGCAGAUUUAUUGUUUAAUAACUUUAACCACAAUAUUAUAAUAUUUUAGACUCAAUGUCAUUACUCCAUCAGUUGUCAUUAUUACUUAUAUUCAUGUCAUUAAACAAUUACAUUGUUAA
Biomphalaria glabrata is the source of this 665-nucleotide long non-coding RNA. RefSeq lists it as uncharacterized. The transcript has 2 exons. The record is from RefSeq and is a predicted model, not a curated record. Lineage: Eukaryota; Metazoa; Mollusca; Gastropoda; Planorbidae.